AAUGACCUGCAACACACCGAGAAAACGCAACAGAACAGUUGAUUUUAGCUUUUUUAUUUCUUUACAGAUCUGGUUUUUGUCAUUUCUUUCUUCUCCGAUCUGCUCCUUCCUCUUCUUCUUCAGAUCGUCUUCUCCCCGGGUCGGUUCGUUAGGGGUUUCGUCUUCUUCUCUGCUUGUGGUGGCGAGGCCAAGGUGGAACGACCGCGCGGAUGCUGCUGGUGGUUUGUGAUGGCUGCGGUGGAGCUGUGAUGGAGAGGGGACCGUGGGUCUGCCACCGGUUGAAAAGGGAAGAUCGGUUGCUGCUGUUGGUUGCUCGACCGCCGCUGGAGGCUGAUUGAAGAGCAGAGGAUGAAGCAGUGGCGGACCGAUCCGGGUCCGUGGUGGACGCUGCUGCUGACGGAGAAGCCCGGCUGAGAGGAAAAGGUGGAGCUGGAAAAAUGGGGAGAAGGAGCAGCCGCAGGGAAGAAGAUGAGGGAGGUGGUUGUGCU
Molecule: long non-coding RNA, 488 nt
Filed under: Populus tremula
Lineage: Eukaryota; Viridiplantae; Streptophyta; Magnoliopsida; Malpighiales; Salicaceae
Description: long non-coding RNA (PTRE_LNC000615)
Source: RNAcentral